RNAcentral lists this ribosomal RNA (484 nucleotides) under uncultured bacterium. RNAcentral describes it as "partial 16S ribosomal RNA". It matches the Rfam family "Bacterial small subunit ribosomal RNA", at positions 30 to 507 of the family's 1533-position model. The record is from RNAcentral.
AUUGAACGCUGGCGGCAGGCCUAACACAUGCAAGUCGAGCGGAUGAAGGGAGCUUGCUCCUGGAUGCAGCGGCGGACGGGUGAGUAAUGCCUAGGAAUCUGCCUGGCAGUGGGGGAUAACGUCCGGAAACGGGCGCUAAUACCGCAUACGUCCAGAGGGUGAAAGUGGGGGAUCUUCGGACCUCACGCUAUCUGAUGAGCCUAGGUCGGAUUAGCUAGUUGGUGGGGUAAAGGCCUACCAAGGCGACGAUCCGUAACUGGUCUGAGAGGAUGAUCAGUCACACUGGAACUGAGACACGGUCCAGACUCCUACGGGAGGCAGCAGUGGGGAAUAUUGGGCAAUGGGCGAAAGCCUGAUCCAGCCAUGCCGCGUGUGUGAAGAAGGUCUUCGGAUUGUAAAGCACUUUAAGUUGGGAGGAAGGGCAGUAAGUUUAUACCUUGCUGUUUUGACGUUACCAACAGAAUAAGCACCGGCUAACUUCGUG